UACAGAGGUCUCAAGCGUUGUUCGGAUUCAUUGGGCGUAAAGGGUGCGUAGGCGGCGCGGUAAGUCGGGUGUGAAAUCUCGGAGCUUAACUCCGAAACUGCAUUCGAUACUGCCGUGCUUGAGGACUGGAGAGGAGACUGGAAUUUACGGUGUAGCGGUGAAAUGCGUAGAUAUCGUAAGGAAGACCAGUGGCGAAGGCGGGUCUCUGGACAGUUCCUGACGCUGAGGCACGAAGGCCAGGGGAGCAAAACGGG
RNAcentral lists this ribosomal RNA (254 nucleotides) under uncultured bacterium. RNAcentral describes it as "partial 16S ribosomal RNA". It matches the Rfam family "Bacterial small subunit ribosomal RNA", at positions 524 to 777 of the family's 1533-position model. The record is from RNAcentral.